RNAcentral lists this ribosomal RNA (973 nucleotides) under human gut metagenome. Its description in RNAcentral is "bacterial LSU rRNA". It matches the Rfam family "Bacterial large subunit ribosomal RNA", at positions 1958 to 2925 of the family's 2925-position model. The record is from RNAcentral.
AGCGAAAUUCCUUGUCGGGUAAGUUCCGACCUGCACGAAUGGCGUAAUGAUGGCCAGGCUGUCUCCACCCGAGACUCAGUGAAAUUGAACUCGCUGUGAAGAUGCAGUGUACCCGCGGCAAGACGGAAAGACCCCGUGAACCUUUACUAUAGCUUGACACUGAACAUUGAGCCUUGAUGUGUAGGAUAGGUGGGAGGCUUUGAAGUGUGGACGCCAGUCUGCAUGGAGCCGUCCUUGAAAUACCACCCUUUAAUGGCUGGUGUUCUAACGUAGACCCGUAAUCCGGGUUGCGGACAGUGUCUGGUGGGUAGUUUGACUGGGGCGGUCUCCUCCUAAAGAGUAACGGAGGAGCACGAAGGUUGGCUAAUCCUGGUCGGACAUCAGGAGGUUAGUGCAAUGGCAUAAGCCAGCUUGACUGCGAGCGUGACGGCGCGAGCAGGUGCGAAAGCAGGUCAUAGUGAUCCGGUGGUUCUGAAUGGAAGGGCCAUCGCUCAACGGAUAAAAGGUACUCCGGGGAUAACAGGCUGAUACCGCCCAAGAGUUCAUAUCGACGGCGGUGUUUGGCACCUCGAUGUCGGCUCAUCACAUCCUGGGGCUGAAGUAGGUCCCAAGGGUAUGGCUGUUCGCCAUUUAAAGUGGUACGCGAGCUGGGUUUAGAACGUCGUGAGACAGUUCGGUCCCUAUCUGCCGUGGGCGCUGGAGAACUGAGGGGGGCUGCUCCUAGUACGAGAGGACCGGAGUGGACGCAUCACUGGUGUUCGGGUUGUCAUGCCAAUGGCACUGCCCGGUAGCUAAAUGCGGAAGAGAUAAGUGCUGAAAGCAUCUAAGCACGAAACUUGCCCCGAGAUGAGUUCUCCCUGAGACUUUAAGUCUCCUGAAGGAACGUUGAAGACGACGACGUUGAUAGGCCGGGUGUGUAAGCGCAGCGAUGCGUUGAGCUAACCGGUACUAAUGAACCGUGAGGCUUAACCUU